AAAGCCGUACCACAAACCAACGCAGGUAGACUACAACAAUAUUGUAAGGCCAAGAACAAACUAUUUAUAGGGAACUCGGCAAAAUACGUAAUAGACUUCGGUUAAAAGACGCCUCUAAUAGAGGAAAAUAUAAAAGAUUGCUGCAACUGUUUACCAAAAACACAUGGCCAUGCAAACAAAACAAGUAUAUGGCCUGACACCUGCCCAAAGGCUAUCGGCAAACGGCAGCUGUAACUCUAACGGUUCUAAGGUAGCAAAACCCCUUGACGUUUAAUUGGCGUCGCGCAUGAAUGGUGUAAUGAUGGCAAUAGCUGUCCCAUAAAUAGAUUCUGUGAAUUUGAAUUACCCGUGCAGAUGCGGGUAUUUAAGCACUGGACGAAGAGACCCUAUGACACCUUUACAUGAUGAUAUUCCAAAGAUAAAUAGAUCUUUAUGUGGAAAAAGUAAUACAAUAAUAGAAAAAUGUUUGACUUUGUCGCG
Molecule: ribosomal RNA, 480 nt
Filed under: Chlamydomonas moewusii
Lineage: Eukaryota; Viridiplantae; Chlorophyta; Chlorophyceae; Chlamydomonadales; Chlamydomonadaceae
Description: LSU rRNA
Rfam family: Bacterial large subunit ribosomal RNA
Source: RNAcentral